GAUUCCCUUUUUGCUUUAAACUCAAAA
Molecule: non-coding RNA, 27 nt
Filed under: Rattus norvegicus (Norway rat)
Lineage: Eukaryota; Metazoa; Chordata; Mammalia; Rodentia; Muridae
Source: RNAcentral